Long non-coding RNA from Chloebia gouldiae (Gouldian finch), 1588 nucleotides. The record is from Ensembl. NCBI's taxonomy places the organism in Eukaryota, Metazoa, Chordata, Aves, Passeriformes, Passeridae.
UGGUGGAGCAGCUGUGGUUUCCUCUNNNNNNNNNNUGGUGGUGGAGCAGCUGUGGUUUCCUCUGUGGUGGUGGUGGAACCGUGGUGGUGGAACAGAUGUGGAUCCCUCCGUGGUGGUGGUAGAACUGUGGUGGUGGAGCAGCUGUGGUGGUGGAACCGUGGUGGUGGAGCAGAUGUGGUGGUGGAACCAUGGUGGUGGAACAGAUGUGGAUCCCUCCGUGGUGGUGGUGGUGGAACCGUGGUGGUGGAACUGUGGUGGUGGAGCAGUUGUGGUGGUGGAACAGCUGUGGUGGUGGAAUCGUGGUGGUGGAGCAGAUGUGGUUUCCUCUGUGGUCAUGGUGGAACCGUGGUGGUGGAGACGGUGGUGGUGGUGGAACCGUGGUGGUGGAGCAGCUGUGGUGGUGGAACCGUGGUGGUGGAACCGUGGUGGUGGAACAGCUGUGGUGGUGGAACCGUGGUGGUGGUGGUGGAGCCGUGGUGGUGGAACAGCUGUGGUGGUGGAAGCGUGGUGGUGGAGCAGCUGUGGAUCCCUCCGUGGUGGUGGUGGAACCGUGGUGGUGGAGCAGAUGUGGUGGUGGAGCAUCUGUGGUGGUGGAACCGUGGUGGUGGAACAGAUGUGGUGGUGGAACCGUGGUGGUGGGGACGGUGGUGGUGGUGGUGGAACCGUGGUGGUGGAGCAGCUGUGGUGGUGGAACCGUGGUGGUGGAGCAGAUGUCGUGGUGGAACCGUGGUGGUGGAGCAGAUGUGGUGGUGGAACCGUGGUGGUGGAGCAGAUGUCAUGGUGGAACCGUGAUGGUGGAGCAGCUGUGGUGGUGGUGGAAUCGUGGUGGUGGGGACAGUGGUGGUGGUGGUGGAACCGUGGUGGUGGAGCAGCUGUGGUGGUGGAACAGCCGUGGUGGUGGAACCGUGGUGGUGGAGCAGAUGUGUUGGUGGAACCACGGUGGUGGUGGAACCGUGGUGGUGGAGCAGCCGUGGUGGUGGAACCGUGGUGGUGGAGCAGCUGUGGUUUCCUCUGUGGUGGUGGUGGUGGAACCGUGGUGGUGGAGCAGAUGUGGUGGUGGAACCGUGGUGGUGGAACAGAUGUGGAUCCCUCCAUGGUGGUGGUGGAACUGUGGUGCUGGACCAGCCAUGGUUCCCUCAUGGUGGUGGUGCCACCACGGUGCUGGAAUGGCCGUGGUGGUGGUGGCACCCACGGUUCUGGUCACCCCUGGUCACUCCUGGUCACUUUGGUCACCCCUGGUCACCCCUGGUCACUCCUGGUCACCCCUGGUCACCCCUGGUCACUCUGGUCACUUUGGUCACUCCUGGUCACUCCUGGUCACUCCCGUGGUCUCUCCGCAGGGAUGGACGCCGGCUUCGUCUUCUUCCUCUUCCUCCUCAUCGCCGCCCUCAUCGCGGCCGGCGCCGCCCUCGCCUGCCACAUCCGGCGCCGCAUUCAGCAGGCCCAGCUCAUGAAGGGCCCCAACAAAAUCAUCCUGACCAUGGAGGACCUGACCUUCAUCAACACCCAGAGCAGCAAGCAGGUGGACAGCAGCCACGCCAGCCUGGCCGGGCAGAGCGGGGGCGACGCCCGCAGCGUCCGCAGCGCC